GACGAACGCUGGCGGCGUGCUUAACACAUGCAAGUCGAACGGAAAGGCCCUGCUUUUGUGGGGUGCUCGAGUGGCGAACGGGUGAGUAACACGUGAGUAACCUGCCCUUGACUUUGGGAUAACUUCAGGAAACUGGGGCUAAUACCGGAUAGGAGCUCCUGCUGCAUGGUGGGGGUUGGAAAGUUUCGGCGGUUGGGGAUGGACUCGCGGCUUAUCAGCUUGUUGGUGGGGUAGUGGCUUACCAAGGCUUUGACGGGUAGCCGGCCUGGGAGGGUGACCGGCCACAUUGGGCCUGAGAUACGGCCCAGACUGCUACGGGAGGCAGAAGUGGGGAAUAUUGCACAACGGGGGGAAGCCUGAUGCAGCAACGUCGCGUGCGUGAUGACGGCCUUCGGGUUGUAAACAGAUUUCGACUGUGACGAAGCGUGAGUGACGGUAAUGGGUAAAGAAGCACCGGCUAACUACGUG
RNAcentral lists this ribosomal RNA (468 nucleotides) under uncultured bacterium. Its description in RNAcentral is "partial 16S ribosomal RNA". It matches the Rfam family "Bacterial small subunit ribosomal RNA", at positions 28 to 507 of the family's 1533-position model. The record is from RNAcentral.